RNAcentral lists this ribosomal RNA (564 nucleotides) under Triticum aestivum (bread wheat). RNAcentral describes it as "partial small subunit ribosomal RNA". The record is from RNAcentral. Lineage: Eukaryota; Viridiplantae; Streptophyta; Magnoliopsida; Poales; Poaceae.
AUGCCACUAUCAAACGAAGUCUUACCUGCUGUGCUGGCCCCAAAAGUUACCGCAGCACGUCAUCAGGUCCAUGAGCUCAUUGAUUUAAUAGCAGAGGUUUCGGCCGAAGUCGGGUUUCGACGCUGUGCUAUCGGGGAGCGCAACGCUGGCCAAAUCGUGGGUGCUGGGAACUUGAUGGCUGAGAUUGAGGGGGCCCAUCGAGUUCUUGUGCCCACCGUUGCAUUUGUUACAGGGCUGUUCAUGGUGUACGAGUCUCAGUUUGGAGAUAUGAUGGGGACUGAGCAGGAAGUAGAGAUGAAGAACAACCUGGCCCAAGCCAAGCUUGCAGUUCAAGUUCUGAACCGUUCACUUUUUCUAUUGGGAUCCAAUGUUUUGGAAUUUGACCUUGUUGUGAGCAACUACUCGCUCUUGGACCCAACAGCACAUGCUGAUGCAGAAAGUUCACUGUGCAAGGCAGCUAAUAUGUGCAGGUUAAUUCAGACCUUUGCCGGCACUCUGCAGUUCCACCUGAAGGUUUUUGAAGGGAUCUACAGUUCUGGUGUGUUGUUUCCUCACCCCCAGUAA